RNAcentral lists this ribosomal RNA (202 nucleotides) under uncultured fungus. RNAcentral describes it as "partial small subunit ribosomal RNA". The stretch from base 82 to 202 matches the Rfam family "Eukaryotic small subunit ribosomal RNA", at positions 747 to 864 of the family's 1831-position model. The record is from RNAcentral. Lineage: Eukaryota; Fungi.
GGAGUUUUCAGGUCAAAGCUCGUCCUUGUGGCGUGGCUCGGCUUGGGCUUCUUACUUUUGGAUAGUGGGCAACCGCUUCCAAUCAUUUACUUUGAAAAAAUUAGAGUGUUCAAAGCAGGCGUAACCUUGCCAUUGAAUAUUACAGCAUGGGAUAAUAGAAUAUGACGUUGGUCUUAUUUUGUUGGUUUCUAAGGCUGAUGUA